UACGAAGGGGGCUAGCGUUGCUCGGAAUCACUGGGCGUAAAGGGUGCGUAGGCGGGUCUUUAAGUCAGGGGGGAAAUCCUGGAGCUCAACUCCAGAACUGCCUUUGAUACUGAGGAUCUUGAGUUCGGGAGAGGUGAGUGGAACUGCGAGUGUAGAGGUGAAAUUCGUAGAUAUUCGCAAGAACACCAGUGGCGGAGGCGGCUCACUGGCCCGAUACUGACGCUGAGGCACGAAAGCGUGGGGAGCAAACAGG
This 253-nucleotide ribosomal RNA is filed under the name uncultured bacterium. RNAcentral's name for it is "partial 16S ribosomal RNA". It matches the Rfam family "Bacterial small subunit ribosomal RNA", at positions 524 to 776 of the family's 1533-position model. The record is from RNAcentral.